AAUUACCAUUUUCAUUAAAUUUCCUAAAUCAAAACCUUACCAUUUAAACUUUGAUUCAACAUAUCAAAUAUAAUUGUUUCUUCUCAAUAAAAUCAACAAAUGCAGUAUUCUUUAUUUUUCAGUUUCAUAUUUACAAAGUUUCAUACUUUCAAAAAUUUACUUCUAUCUAGUACUAAUCUCAUUUCCACAAGCCAAUUAUAUAGUUUCAAUUGAGAAAUUUAGAAUAACAAUAGACAUAAUAUGAAGCCCAUUAACUCAAUAUUUCGACAAGCAAAAUUUAUAAAAGCUAAAUAUAGAUUUAUCAUCAAUUCUCAACCAACCUUUUUCAAUUAAUUAAAAUUUCCCAUUUCUUCCAAGUAUUUAUACCUUAAAAAGCAAGAGAAAAAUCCAAAUUAUUCAUUUUCAUUCACAUGCUUAUAAACCCAAAUUUAUUCAAUAACAUACUUUCCUUCCUGCAUUAGUCCAGUAAUUUAACCUUUAACAAAGCCAUUUAAACCCAACUUAUAAACUCACUCAAGUGAAAAUUUCAAUUGAAUCUUGCCCAUUUACUAAAAUUCACUAAAAAAAACUCAUCUAUAUCUAUUUUAACAUACAUUAAAUUCUCAUAAAAAAUUAAUAAAUAUAUAAAAAUUCCAAUUUC
This 640-nucleotide unclassified non-coding RNA is filed under the name Hevea brasiliensis (rubber tree). The record is from RNAcentral. Lineage: Eukaryota; Viridiplantae; Streptophyta; Magnoliopsida; Malpighiales; Euphorbiaceae.